RNAcentral lists this ribosomal RNA (253 nucleotides) under uncultured bacterium. Its description in RNAcentral is "partial 16S ribosomal RNA". It matches the Rfam family "Bacterial small subunit ribosomal RNA", at positions 524 to 776 of the family's 1533-position model. The record is from RNAcentral.
UACGUAGGGGGCAAGCGUUGUCCGGAUUUAUUGGGCGUAAAGAGCGUGUAGGCGGUUAGAUAGGUCUGCUGUGAAAACUCCAGGCUCAACCUGGAGACGUCGGUGGAAACCAUCUAGCUAGAGUCCGGAAGAGGAGAGUGGAAUUCCUGGUGUAGCGGUGAAAUGCGCAGAUAUCAGGAAGAACACCCGUGGCGAAGGCGGCUCUCUGGGACGGUACUGACGCUGAGACGCGAAAGCGUGGGGAGCGAACAGG